Molecule: ribosomal RNA, 468 nt
Filed under: uncultured bacterium
Lineage: Bacteria
Description: partial 16S ribosomal RNA
Rfam family: Bacterial small subunit ribosomal RNA
Source: RNAcentral
GACGAACGCUGGCGGCGUGCUUAACACAUGCAAGUCGAACGGAAAGGCCCUGCUUUUGUGGGGUGCUCGAGUGGCGAACGGGUGAGUAACACGUGAGUAACCUGCCCUUGACUUUGGGAUAACUUCAGGAAACUGGGGCUAAUACCGGAUAGGAGCUCCUGCUGCAUGGUGGGGGUUGGAAAGUUUCGGCGGUUGGGGAUGGACUCGCGGCUUAUCAGCUUGUUGGUGGGGUAGUGGCUUACCAAGGCUUUGACGGGUAGCCGGCCUGAGAGGGUGACCGGCCAAAUUGGGACUGAGAUACGGCCGAGACUCCUACGGGAGGCAGCAGUGGGGAAUAUUGCACAAUGGGCGGAAGCCUGAUGCAGCAACGCCGCGUGCGGGAUGACGGCCUUCGGGUUGUAAACCGCUUCCGCCUGUGACGAAGCGUGAGUGACGGUAAUGGGUAAAGAAGCACCGGCUAACUACGUG